This 983-nucleotide long non-coding RNA is filed under the name Homo sapiens (human). Its description in RNAcentral is "HSALNT0285366". Lineage: Eukaryota; Metazoa; Chordata; Mammalia; Primates; Hominidae. The record is from RNAcentral.
CUUGAAAGGAAAAAGUCAUAGAAUUAUGUGCCUAUAAGGAUCUUUGAAAAGCUCAGACAUAUUCCUGGGAAUCUAGAAGGUCAGGCACAAGUUCAGGACUGGGUAUAUUCUUAGAAAAGAAGCGAGAUGGCCCUAAUCUUUCCCCAUUGACUGACCCUGAGGCCCUGUGCAAGCGGCAAGAGAAUGCUAAGAUGGAGUUGUAAACUGCCUGGCAGAGCAUUGAAAUCAUGUCCCAACACAGGAACAGAGCCCCUCGGCAAAGGCUGGGAGUCUUACUGGAUCAAGGCAUUUAAGCUGCAUUAAAGAAGAUUCUCCAUGAACUGCUUAAAAGAAGAAGCCAAGAAGCUGAUUACAGCUUAGGGCCCCACCACAGCCAUCAAAAAUUACCAAAGGGAUGCUGGGACUUCAAGUUUUUUCCAGUUGUGCAGGAGGAAAGUCAUGGCCUCAGCCAUCUGCUUCCUGUCUGCAUCAUGACUCACAUCUUUCAGGUCCACUUGGACAGAAGUUCAGAUGAGAUCUGCUCAGGCCUGCUGCCCAGAGACUUGAUGGUGCUAAGGUUCAGGUAGCUGUGUGAAAGGAGGAGCAUGAAUCUAGGACCUGAGACCUAGGGGGACUGAGACAGGGUCACAAGCUUUUUAUCUUAUUCAGAAAAACCAGUUCAAUCUUCAUUACUGGUGGUGUAAGCAUGACACUAUUGCUUCUUGAUAGGAUGCACUGAAAGGAUACAACAUCACUCCUAUGAUAUUCCUGCCCCAAAUUCAGAAUCUGAAUCUAAUCACAGAGAAACAUCAGACAAGCCCAAAUUGAAAGGCGUUCUACCAAAUAACUGGCCUGGACCUUUUAUUUCUAUAAUAUACUGUACUGAGAGAUAGAGAGUCUCAGGAACUUUUCCAGAUUAAAGAAGACUAAAGAGACAUGAGAACUUGCAACAUGUGAUUCUAGACUGGAUUUUGGACCAGAAAAAGAACAUUAUUAAAGCAAUU